Monodelphis domestica (gray short-tailed opossum) is the source of this 750-nucleotide non-coding RNA. Lineage: Eukaryota; Metazoa; Chordata; Mammalia; Didelphimorphia; Didelphidae. The record is from RefSeq and is a predicted model, not a curated record.
AAACAUUCUCAAAGCUGGAAAGGAAUAGAAAAAUGGUCUAGUGACACAUUGGGUGCCUGUCUUCAUAGCCCAGUUCAAUCCUGAAAGGCUCAUUACCAGGACACUGGCCACCCACCAGAUGAUAAUAUUAUUUUUGUCCCUAGUCCCUCAGGAAAGGUAUCUCUGAAGAUAUGGAGAGGUUGUUGACACCCGUGUCUGCAAAGGGACUAUCAAAAACACCAACAGCCUCAUCAAUUUUAUAUGCUGCUUUUCUCCCAAAGUGCCUCAGGAGACUGUUCUUCAUUCCUGGAAUGCAUUCACCUCUAAUUCAUAGAACCCCUUGUUUUCAGCAAGAUUCAAUUUAAAUGUGACCUUCUGACAUAAAAUCUCCUUCCCUGAUCCUCCAGGAUUUAAGUUCCUUAAUGAGAGCUGUGCUUCUGAUGGACUUCUGGGGGCAUGUGUUUCUGUUUUUGUAUCUUCAUUGAUUAGCAAAAUGCCUUAUCUAUAGGAGGCACGUGUUAAAGGAGUGGAUCUUCAUUUCACAAAGGAGGAAAUGGAGCAAAUGGACUCAGCAUAACAUAAAGAAAAGAUAAGGGAUUAGAAGAUGUCAGUUCAAGUUGGCUCUCUUACCUUCUGGUUAUGUGACCUUAGGCAAGUCAUUUUACCUGUACUCUUGUUCUCAUCUUCCCCCAUAUAAACUGAGGUGAUUGGGAUAUAUGAUUUCUAAUGUUUCUUUCAUCUUAUUGAGAGAUUCAGUUAUGCUUAAGGAUA